CCUGUUCCCCCUGACAGCUCGGCACUCGUGAAAUCUAUUUAUAAACCAGGUUGCUGUAAUUCGUGGGAGGCGAGAAGGGCUCCGACAUGGAGGGGCGCCGGUGCCAGAGCCGCAGAGGUGAAGGAGCGAAGGAGCGAAGUACCGUCCUCGCGGCCGCGCGCGCCGUCCUUCCUGUGGCGCCAAGCUGGGCCGGCUUCCCGUCUUGGUAGAUCCGUGGCUGUGAGGAGAUGGAUCCACGGCUGUUUGGGGAGGCCGGACAGGCUCCUGCAGGGCGGCUUUCGCUUUCCUCGUGCCUCCCUCUGUGACUGCUGACGUAGCGAAUGGCACAUGGUGCCACGUGGCCAAC
This is a long non-coding RNA of Nothoprocta perdicaria, 346 nucleotides long. RefSeq lists it as uncharacterized. The transcript is spliced from 2 exons. Lineage: Eukaryota; Metazoa; Chordata; Aves; Tinamiformes; Tinamidae. The record is from RefSeq and is a predicted model, not a curated record.